UGCAAGUCGAGGGGCAGCGCGGAGGUAGCAAUACGUCUGGCGGCGACCGGCGCACUGGUGAGUAACACGUAUGCGACCUGCCCCGGGACAGGGGGAUAAACCCGGGAAACUAGGGCCUAAUACCCCAUAUGCCUGGAGGAUGCAUGUCCUCAAGGUGAAAGAUCCGUCGGUCCGGGAUGGGCAUGCGGCGCAUUAGCUGGUUGGCGGGGCAACGGCCCACCAAGGCGACGAUGCGUAGGGGUUCUGAGAGGAAGGUCCCCCACACUGGUACUGAGACACGGACCAGACUCCUACGGGAGGCAGCAGUGAGGAAUAUUGGUCAAUGGACGAUAGUCUGAACCAGCCAAAAGUCGCGUGCGGGAUGAAGGCCCUCCGGGUCGUAAACCGCUUUAGCCGGGGAGUAACGUGGGGGACGCGUCCCUCAGUGAGAGUACCCGGAGAAUAAGCAUCGGCUAACUCCGUGCCAGCAGCGGC
Molecule: ribosomal RNA, 474 nt
Filed under: uncultured bacterium
Lineage: Bacteria
Description: bacterial SSU rRNA
Rfam family: Bacterial small subunit ribosomal RNA
Source: RNAcentral